GAACGUACGGGUUCCAUGGUUAUAGAACUUGAGGUAAGGUGUUCGAACACCAAGCUAGUCUGUUGCUCUAGGGUUUGUAAAUACCGGAAUAUUUAUUUUAUCAGGAGACGUGCCGAGAGAAAUUAGCGUGGCUCCGAACGCAGACUAGACGUAAACCUGAGCUAGAGGAGGAGGUGCGGCCGGCAUCAUGAAAGACAGCCAGUGUGAGUGUCCUGCGCCAAUCGAUUCGGCCGGUACCGACAGGUCCUGCUCGGCGACGUGUAGGAGAAGAAGGGCAAGGACCGCAGGCCGGUGGAGUAGGGAUAGCGGCUGUACCGGCGCGAGAAGCGGCCGGCGCCGCAGUCCACGUCGUAGGAGUGGUGCGGGCAGUUGCGGCGGUAGUAGGCGAGACGGCAGCCGACGCGGUUGCUACGGAAGCGGCCGUGGCCGAGGGGCUGGUAGCUGUAGCGCCAGCACGGGAAGGGGCUGCAGCCGGAGGGCGGCCCACACCUCUUGACGUGCCGCGAGUGCAGGGAUCUGCUGGCGCUGUUCAAGAAGGUCCGGCGCGUCGACGAGGCCCUCGGGAAGCUGGCCAAGGACCGGCUGGUGGCGUGGCUGCGCCAGCACAGUCUGUCGAAGAAGUUAACCAGGCACCUGCGGCGGCGACUCGCGCCGCAGGGCGCCUAGCGGAAGGAGCCGUCGUCGUACAAGCGCGCGAGGACGUCGCUGUCGUACGACGCCGUGUUGGGCGACCUCUUGCGGGGGCUGCUGGGGCUGCGGGAGCAAGACGACGGCCCCGACGGCGUGGCGUAGCUCGACUCCGCCUCGGUCUACUACCUGGGCCGUUUCUUCGGCACCUUGACCCUCAAGAGGUUCUCGCACUUGCGGCGGCUGGUCUCCUCGAAGCCGCUCCACAAGUUGUCGAAGGUGCUCGACCUCGGCCUAAUGCAGCUCGUGAAGGUGUUCUGCGAGCGGGCCGCGCACACCGAGCAGCCCGGCCACCGCGAGCGGUCGUUCCUGUACCGACACUCUCCGUGGCUGCGCGGGAGCGGCCUGCGCCUGUCGACGUAGGCCACCGAACUGCGCUUCGGCCGGCCGAGCCACCACAUGCAGAGGAAGCCGUGUGACUGGUUCAAGCGUGGCCGCCUCGACGUGGUCGAGCGGGCGCGGGAGCUGCAUAGUCCGCACUUGAAACACACCCACUAGCGGCGGCGGCUCCCGGUUCUGAGACGACUCACCUACGGGCUUCCGAAGCGGCUCGAGUAUCGCGCGCCGCUGGCGCCGAAGUACCAGGCUCCGACCCGCGGCGUCUACGACUAGGACUCGAUGGGGCGGGAGCCGCCCAAGUACUGCGUGACGCCGACCUUGAGUCACGACCUCCGGCACUGGCGGCCGCAAGGCUACCACUGCACCGGCGCCAUGCUCCUGGUCAAGUUGUUGCUCUUCGAACAGCACCUCGACGACUUCCACCCGCAGUCGUAGCCCCGGUUCCUAUUGCGCAGCCCGUAGCUCCGGGUGCUCCACUAGCGGCGGCUCCACUAGCGGCUCAGGUAGGUCUCCAACUACCUCUCGCUGCGGUAGGCCUUCUUCCGGUUCCUGGAGCCGCGCUUCCGUUCCUCGCGCCACCUCUUCCCGCCCAGAAGCAUGCUACUGCAACUGGCCGACUACCUGCAGGACUGCCGGGCGGCCUCGAGGCAGCUCCGACCUCUUCUGUAGGUUCGGUCGACUACCCGACCAUGCUGCCACGCAAUUACCGGCGAUCUAGGCGACCGCUAGAAAACGAUCAUGCUGUCGGUACCUUAAAUUAACAUGCAGCGACAAGAGACUCUUUUCACAUUUUACUCAUUUUUUUUGAAAGAAAAACGUAGAGCCCCUGUCUUUUCUGAGCCACCUACGGUUCGGUGCGAGCACGAGAGACGGUCAUAGUACCGAGGUUUGGACUAUGCAUCGUACCAAGCACCGGUAUGUAGUACAACAUGCAAGGGUAGAGCGGCCGGAACGGCGGUAAUGACUAAACAACGUAGCUGAAACACAAAAAGAGAAGACACUAUCACUUCGAGAAACCAAAAAAAGAAGAAGACACUUUCAUCACUUUGUGAUAUGAAAACCAAAAGAUUUUAGACUCUUUUGACAUGAACAGUUAGUGUCGGAUCGA
This 2134-nucleotide ribosomal RNA is filed under the name Triticum aestivum (bread wheat). RNAcentral describes it as "partial small subunit ribosomal RNA". Lineage: Eukaryota; Viridiplantae; Streptophyta; Magnoliopsida; Poales; Poaceae. The record is from RNAcentral.